GAGCCGCCUGUUCUCUCCUUUUAUCCGUCCCUGAAGAUGACGCCAUGGCUUUAGCAAUCGAACUGUGUUACACAAUCGAUCAAGGAACCAGGCUUCAACAUCAACGAGGGUGAAGGUGAGGGCUCGUCAUCUUCUUUCUUUCUUGUCACGUUUCUUCCAUAUCUUACUUCUCCUUCGUCGGUGGCGGAGGCGGCUUUGAGCUUUGGCUUCGCAGCAGUCGCCGGCUUCUUCUUAGUGGGCGCAGCAGCAGCCGGAACCGGCUUGGGAGUCCGCGCGGACGGCAAUUUAAACGAGUUUUUAACUUUCGCAAGCUUCUCGUUUGCCACCAGCUUCUUCAGCUGAACGAGCAAAACCUUCCUGAAAUUCGCUGGUAGAUUCUUCUCCUUAUCCUCGAUGAACUUCGUAAUCGCGUACUGGCUCGAUCCUGUCCUCUCCUUGAGCGUGACGAUUGCAUCUUUAAUCAUCUCAAAAUAAGGAGGGUGAGUGGAGGAGCUACGCUUUCUCGGAGCAGGAACCUUCUUCUUAGCACCUUUUGGAGCAGAAACCUUCUUCACCGUGACGGAUUUCUCCG
Molecule: long non-coding RNA, 571 nt
Filed under: Salvia miltiorrhiza (redroot sage)
Lineage: Eukaryota; Viridiplantae; Streptophyta; Magnoliopsida; Lamiales; Lamiaceae
Description: long non-coding RNA (SMIL_LNC005561)
Source: RNAcentral